ACUCUCGGCAACGGAUAUCUCAUCUCUCGCAUCGAUGAAGAACGUAGCAAAAUGCGAUACCUGGUGUGAAUUGCAGAAUCCCGCGAACCAUCGAGUUUUUGAACGCAAGUUUCACCCGAGGCCUUCUUGCUGAGGGCACGCCUGCCUGGGCGUCACGCCAAAAGACACUCCCAACCCAUCCGUGGGGAAGGACGUGGUGUUUGGCUCCCCGUGCCGUGAGGUGCGGUGGGCCGAAGUUGGGGCUGCCGGCGUAACUUGCCGAGCGCCGCACGUGGUGCGCGACAUACAGUUGUUCUCAGUGUAGUGUCUCGUCUAGGAGUGGGCUCGUUGGCCCUAAAUGACCCAUGACGACCGUAGCGCUUUGUCGCUCAGACCGCGACCCCAGGUCAGACGGGACUACCCGCUGAGUUUAAGCAUAUAAAUAAGCGGAGGAGAAGAAACUUACAAGGAUUCCCCUAGUAACGGCGAGCGAACCGGGAACAGCCCAGCUUGAGAAUCGAGUAUCACUACUCGAAUUGUAGUCUGGAGAGGCAUCCUCGGAGACGGACCGGACCCAAGUUCUCUGGGAAGGGACGCCUGGGAGGGUGAGAGCCCUGUCCAUCCCGGACCCUGUCUCACCACGAGGCGCCGUCAAUGAGUCGGGUUGUUUGGGAAUGCAGCCCAAAUCGGGCGGUAAACUCCGUCCAAGGCUAAAUACAGGCGAGAGACCGAAAGCGAACAAGUACCGCGAGGGAAAGAUGAAAAGGACUUUGAAGAGAGAGUCAAAGAGUGCUUGAAAUUGUCGGGAGGGAAGCGGAUGGGGGCCGGCGAUGCACCCCAGUCGCAUGCGGAAAGGCUUUGGCUGGUCCCCCUAUCGGCUCGGGGUGUGGACUGUUGUCUGCUGCGCUGGCAGCCUAUGCUCGGGGACCUUAGGUGCCCCCGGCAGCCGUCGUCGGCACGACCGGUUUUUGCGCACCGCAAGGCGCGUCCCUCGGGACGCUGCGCUGCAACGGCCCGCGGGCUCCCCAUCCGACCCCUCUUGAAACACGGACCAAGGAGUCUGACAUGUGGGCGAGUCUACGGGUUCUUAAACCUGGGAUGCGCAACGAAGCUGACAAGCGGGAGGCCCUCACGGGCUGCACCGCUGGCCGACCCUGAUCUUCUGUGAAGGGUUCGAGUUGGAGCACGCCUAUCGGGACCCGAAAGAUGGUGAACUAUGCCUGAGCUGGGCGAAGCCAGAGGAAACUCUGGUGGAGGCUCGAAGCGAUACUGACAUGCAAAUCGUUCGUUUGACUUGGGUAUAGGGGCGAAAGACUAAUCGAACCAUCUAGCAGCUGGUUCCCUCCGAUGUUUCCCUUAGGAUAGCUGGAGCCCAUUACAAGUUCUAUCAGGUAAAGCCAAUGAUUAGAGGCAUCGGGGGUGCAACACCCUCGACCUAUUCUCAAACUUUAAAUAGGUAGGACGACACGAUUGCUUCGGUGAGCCAUGCCAUGGAAUCAGGAGCUCCAAGUGGGCCAUUUUUGGUAAGCAGAACUGGUGAUGUGGGAUGAACCGAUGUGGACCAGGAGCGUCCCAGUGGUCGGUGGAUGACCGCUCCUUAGUGAUGAGUGAUUGACAACGGGUGUUGGACUGACUCUUGGCUUAGUGCGCAGAUGUAGGCUGCGGCCUAGUUCGUGUUGUUGCAGGUGAAGAACGGGCGCGAAAGGUCUUCAGCCUUGAGGGGCCUCCGGGAGAUGGAGAGACAAGUAGGCUCGGUUCGAGGGACCCGGUGGACAGCGGGACUGGGUGAGGGUCACAUGGUGGCGACACAAGCAAGACGAAGUCAUGGACAAGUGAGCCGGUGCACGGUGGCGGUCAAGUCAAGUGGUUUGGCGGGAGGCCGGACCGAGCACGCGGGGUUUGGUGGUUUGCCCACAAAACCAUCGGCGGACGGUUUCUUGGUUUGGGCCUCAAAACCAAGUCCGAGGGCCCAACACGACGGAGACGGGAUCCGGGCGUGUCGGGAAGCUUCGAGGCGGAGGACACGCGGCGGGAUCGCAUGGCUUGCGUCGGGAGGACGCGGGGUGCGGCAAAGGCGUGGCCGUCCGAUGGCAAGACCCACAAACAUUACCAAAAUGCCCCUACGUGGGUUGUAUCGCCAGUAGUGUAGUUAGGGGUAGUCGAGUCAUUUACCACUCCGGCGGGACCUGAUAUAUAAGCCAUGAGUGUGUGUUGAUGGCUCUCUCUCUCUACGACUUAGGGUUUCAUUUCCCCCCUUCUCUUUCUCAUUUUCGUAGCCAUUUUUCUUCCUAUUUUCUCUAGGCUAGCAUGAGAGCUUCAUGAGAGAUUUGUUGAGAGGGAUGGAUGCUAGGGCGGCAUGCUAGACCUUGUGAAUCUUUCCUGGUUUGUAUAGAAGAUUCGGGGUUGUUUUUCGUGGCUUUUUGUGCUUAUUUUCGUGCCUUUGUUCCCGGUGUGAUUCCGCGGAUUUGAGUGAGUUUCUUCCCGGAUUUCUUUGAGGGAAACAUGGAUAGAUGUCUUGUGCAUCUUUGUGCUUGAUCUUGUGCCCUCAAACGCCGGGAAACUACUCCGAUUCGUGAGUGCUCUAGUUUUUGGUGGUGCUCAAAGGAUUCGCGAUUCCCGGUGAUUUAGGGAGUUAGGAGGCAAGAUUUUUGGGCUAUAGCAUCCCUGUGUGACGCUUUUCAAGUACCCAAACCCUUGUCUCCACAGCUUCAACCGUUUGGGAAAUCCGAUGAUGAUUUGGGGGAGUUGACUUUCGAGGUCGGGCAUUUUUCUGUUCUGUCCGAGCCUCGCGGACGGUCCGCGCCCUCCUGGCGGACGGUCCGCGCCGCUCGAGUUCGUCCCGAGUUCUUCGCGUUCUUGCUCGUCCUUUGUUUCGAUCCGUCGCGAUUUCGGUUUUUGGUUGGACGAAGUUUCGGACGGUCCGCGGUGU
Molecule: ribosomal RNA, 2908 nt
Filed under: Cenchrus americanus (pearl millet)
Lineage: Eukaryota; Viridiplantae; Streptophyta; Magnoliopsida; Poales; Poaceae
Description: eukaryotic LSU rRNA
Rfam family: Eukaryotic large subunit ribosomal RNA (bases 400-1660)
Source: RNAcentral